UGGGCCGUCGUCUAAUGGCAGGACAUCGGUUUUUGGUACCGAGUAUCAAGGUUCGAAUCCUUGCGGCCCAGCUA
This 74-nucleotide transfer RNA is filed under the name Deltaproteobacteria bacterium. RNAcentral describes it as "tRNA-Gln". It matches the Rfam family "tRNA". From Rfam's summary of the family: Transfer RNA (tRNA) molecules are approximately 80 nucleotides in length. Their secondary structure includes four short double-helical elements and three loops (D, anti-codon, and T loops). Lineage: Bacteria; Pseudomonadati; Myxococcota; Myxococcia. The record is from RNAcentral.